UAAGCCCUGCGCAGAAGUCAAGAGCCGCGGUACCGCCGCCUUCGCGCGGCCUUUCAUGCUGAGGCCGCUCUUAUUCUUGUGCCUCGGCCUCUCCGGGCACCCGGCGACAAAGCCCCCGGAGCCCGGCCGCUCUCUUCCCGCUAAAUCCCCUUCGGGGUCAGUGCGCCACCAGCCCCGGGCCGCGCGCCUCUCCUGCCAGCCCAGUGACUCUUAAAGAGCCGCACCCUGCACCCCCCACCCCCGCCCUGCGCUCUCCCCGACCCCCACCUCUUCGCCCUCUCCUCCGGAUCAACCCCCCCCACGUCCACGCCCGAGGACCCGUUGCCCCGAC
This is an unclassified non-coding RNA of Dasypus novemcinctus (nine-banded armadillo), 331 nucleotides long. The record is from Ensembl. NCBI's taxonomy places the organism in Eukaryota, Metazoa, Chordata, Mammalia, Cingulata, Dasypodidae.